Molecule: ribosomal RNA, 714 nt
Filed under: uncultured bacterium
Lineage: Bacteria
Description: bacterial SSU rRNA
Rfam family: Bacterial small subunit ribosomal RNA
Source: RNAcentral
AUUGAACGCUGGCGGCAUGCCUUACACAUGCAAGUCGAACGGCAGCACGGGGGCAACCCUGGUGGCGAGUGGCGAACGGGUGAGUAAUGCAUCGGAACGUGUCCUCUUGUGGGGGAUAACCAGUCGAAAGACUGGCUAAUACCGCAUGAGAUCGAAAGAUGAAAGCGGGGGCCGCAAGGCCUCGCGCGAGAGGAGCGGCCGAUGCCGGAUUAGCUAGUUGGUGGGGUAAUGGCCCACCAAGGCGACGAUCCGUAGCUGGUCUGAGAGGACGACCAGCCACACUGGGACUGAGACACGGCCCCAGACUCCUACGGGAGGCAGCAGUGGGGAAUUUUGGACAAUGGGCGCAAGCCUGAUCCAGCCAUGCCGCGUGUGUGAAGAAGGCCUCGGGUUGUAAAGCACUUUCGGACGGAACGAAAUCGCGCGCAUGAACAAUGCGCGUGGAUGACGGUACCGUAAGAAGAAGCACCGGCUAACUACGUGCCAGCAGCCGCGGUAAUACGUAGGGUGCAAGCGUUAAUCGGAAUUACUGGGCGUAAAGGGUGCGCAGGCGGCCCCGCAUGUCAGGCGUGAAAUCCCCGGGCUCAACCUGGGAAUGGCGCUUGAAACUACGGGGCUGGAGUGUGGCAGAGGGAGGUGGAAUUCCACGUGUAGCGGUGAAAUGCGUAGAUAUGUGGAGGAACACCGAUGGCGAAGGCAAGCCUCCUGGGCCAA